GCAACGGUGAAUCACACGCUGCUUUCAAGGCGUCCAUCUUGCAAACAGAAAAUUAUAGCCAGAGUGUUUCUUUUUAUUGGUAGCUCAAAAGCGAAGAAACAUCUGUUUGAGACGGGAAAUCGGCGAAUCGUGUUUUCUGCCCGAAGAGAUUCAUUUAUGAAACCUUUUGAACCGAGAAAUUGUGUAUACAGUCAGUCACAAAUGUCUGUAUACACUUCUUACAUUUUAUGUAUCCGUUUUAUCCGGAAAAGA
RNAcentral lists this unclassified non-coding RNA (252 nucleotides) under Bombus terrestris (buff-tailed bumblebee). RNAcentral's name for it is "misc RNA ENSBTSG00005029038.1". Lineage: Eukaryota; Metazoa; Arthropoda; Insecta; Hymenoptera; Apidae. The record is from RNAcentral.